AUUGAACGCUGGCGGCGGGCCUAGCACAUGCAAGUCGAGCGGAUGAAGGGAGCUUGCUCCUGGAUUCAGCGGCGGACGGGUGAGUAAUGCCUAGGAAUCUGCCUGGUAGUGGGGGAUAACGUCCGGAAACGGGCGCUAAUACCGCAUACGUCCUGAGGGAGAAAGUGGGGGAUCUUCGGACCUCACGCUAUCAGAUGAGCCUAGGUCGGAUUAGCUAGUUGGUGGGGUAAAGGCCUACCAAGGCGACGAUCCGUAACUGGUCUGAGAGGAUGAUCAGUCACACUGGAACUGAGACACGGUCCAGACUCCUACGGGAGGCAGCAGUGGGGAAUAUUGGACAAAGGGCGAAAGCCUGAUCCAGCCAUGCCGCGUGUGUGAAGAAGGUCUUCGGAUUGUAAAGCACUUUAAGUUGGGAGGAAGGGCAGUAAGUUAAUACCUUGCUGUUUUGACGUUACCAACAGAAUAAGCACCGGCUAACUUCGUG
This 484-nucleotide ribosomal RNA is filed under the name uncultured bacterium. Its description in RNAcentral is "partial 16S ribosomal RNA". It matches the Rfam family "Bacterial small subunit ribosomal RNA", at positions 30 to 507 of the family's 1533-position model. The record is from RNAcentral.